CCUUAUUAGGAGUACUGCAGGUCCCUCUUCGUGGUGGGAAGGGGUGAUUUCUGCCUGGGAGGCUGAGCCGAGCUUUCGUUUUGGGGGCAGGUUGGGUGGAGGGGGGGCCGGCGAGUGGGGCGCUCCUGGAAGAGCCCAGAGUCUUUUCUUCCCCAAGAGUUGGCCAGUUGAGCCCCCCCCCCCCAAACCCACCUCCGGGAGCUCCUUACCUUUCAGGCUGCAAAGCCAAGCAUUCUCCACGAAUUCACCUCCCCCCCCCUUUGCAUUGAGAUCCUUUUAAACCAGCUUCCCAGUGAUCGGUAUCUGUACUGGGUUGGGAUUUGGACUGGCAGGAGGCGCCUGCAGACUGGGAAGGCGGUGGGCUAAGGAGAGUCGCCUGCCUCCCUUCGCUGUCUGGGGGAGAAGGUGGGUCUCCUUUUCGUCAUACUGUACAGGACCCAAAGCAAAAGGUUUAUGCCCAUCCCUCUGUAAAAGGAGAAGAUCUGUUGUCCCUCUGGAGGUGUUCCAAAAAAAAGGUACCAGGUUUGACCAGUUGGAAGUCUUGUAAUGCUAUCACACAUCAAGGGCAGAGAAUCUUGGGUGCUGUGGAUGAAAAAUCCCUUGGCCUUCUCUGUUCAACAUAGACUUAAUCUGAACCACCAUCUGUGAAGCAGUUUCUGUUUAUCAGUCCUGUGCCACAUGUCCAAAUUUUGUUUUGGGUGCAGAAGACCUCUGAAGUUGUUCAUCCUGUCCUCUGGCAGGACACACAAGAGAAAGAUUUGCAUUACCAGAUACUGAAAAUAGGCUUGGAACACAUCCUUGCUUGUCUCUUCUCUAUGAAGGAAUGGAAACAGGAUCUUUGGAGCCAGAACAGGAUGCUGUAGUUUUUGAGGACAUCGCUGUGUAUUUCUCUGAGGACGAAUGGGCACUCUUGGAUCCAGGCCAAAGGGUUCUGCACAGGGAAGUCAUGGAGGAAAAUGUUUCAUGUGUGGUUUCUCUGGGUAAGCUUUCUUUUACAUUCCAUUGUGGCAGUUUUAAGAGAAUCAGCCACAUCAGUCUCUUUCAACUAGAAUAAAACCUUCAGAACACAUCCAAAGAGCCCGAAAAACCCACAACAACCAUCAGUUACUCUUAUUGUUUCUCAUGUUCCAUGCAUUCAAAGGCUUUGCUUUAAUUAUAAACACAAAGUGAUUUUCUGAAAUUUAGUUUAUUCCAGCAGCUAGCAUAUAUAUAUAUAUUUGCAUUGUGAUCUCUAGUGCCUUUUCCUUUUCAGAACCCAACUUGAACAUUGAGCAUUUUUGCUGCAUAUAGGACAAAAGUCUUUGUUACAAAACUGAACAUUAUUUUGCUGUUCAGUUAAAUGCAGUGGUCUUACAGUUAUUGUACUCUUCUAUGUCUUCUUUAUUGGGGAUUGGAACAUAUCUUAGAUGUUUCCAGUCUGUGGACAAUUGUUUGGUUUUCUCUGUUUGUUGUCAUCAUCUUUAGAUUCAGUUUCUGUAGCUUGGAAUAGUUCUAUCAUAUCUCAUCUACAUCUGGUGAUUUAUUUUUCCUUCGAAGUGCUUUAUAAGUGGUUUUUACUUCAUUUUAUAAAAUUGCAGGGUUCUUCUACAAAGGAAUCUAUUAGUUUUUUAAAAUGGCUAGAGCAAAGCAUGCCCCCUUCUCCUCACAUCUGCUCCCUGUUGUUGUAUCUUGGAUUUUGUAAUUCCUUUCCCCAUUUCUGUCCUCAGUGCCUAAGAGUUGUUUUCUGUGCAAAAUUGGUCACUGGCUUCCUAUACAGAACAGCAAAGGCGUUGGAAUGAUGCUGGGAGCAUAUUCUUGCCCAUCUCUCUGUCCUGCAAGAGUGGAAACAGCUUCUGUGCAAUCUAAUCUGGUUGGUGCAAAUAGUUGGAAAGGUCCUGCGUGCUUCUCUCCCUCAGACAGCUCUCUGAGCUUGAAGGU
Molecule: non-coding RNA, 1917 nt
Organism: Pogona vitticeps (central bearded dragon)
Lineage: Eukaryota; Metazoa; Chordata; Lepidosauria; Squamata; Agamidae
Source: RefSeq, a predicted model, not a curated record